This 546-nucleotide ribosomal RNA is filed under the name uncultured alveolate. Its description in RNAcentral is "SSU rRNA". It matches the Rfam family "Eukaryotic small subunit ribosomal RNA", at positions 597 to 1149 of the family's 1831-position model. The record is from RNAcentral.
GCGUAUAUUAAAGUUGUUGCGGUUAAAAAGCUCGUAGUUGGAUUUCUGUCGAAAAUGGGCGGUCCUCACUACGUGGGUGUAUUGUUUCAGUUUCGGCAUCCUCAUGGGGAACGUUGCUGCGCUUGAUUGCGUGGCGCGGUAUCCAUGACUUUUACUUUGAGGAAAUUAGAGUGUUCACGGCAGGCAAUCGCCUUGAAUAUAUUAGCAUGGAAUAAUAAUAUAGGAUCUUGGUUCUAUUUUGUUGGUUUCUAGAGCUAAGAUAAUGAUUAAUAGGGAUAAUUGGGGGUCUUUGUAUCAUGGCGUCAGAGGUGGAAUUCUUGGAUUGCCAUGCGACAAACUACUGCGAAAGCAUUGACCAAGGAUGUUUUCAUUGAUCAAGAACGAAAGAAGGGGAUCGAAGACGAUUAGAUACCGUCGUAGUCUUUACCAUAAACUAUGCCGACUAGAGAUUGGUGGUCGCUCCUUUUUUGGCUCCAUCAGCAUCUUAUGAGAAAUCAAAGUUUUUGGGUUCCGGGGGGAGUAUGGUCGCAAGUCUGAAACUUAAAG